RNAcentral lists this ribosomal RNA (497 nucleotides) under uncultured bacterium. RNAcentral's name for it is "partial 16S ribosomal RNA". It matches the Rfam family "Bacterial small subunit ribosomal RNA", at positions 28 to 507 of the family's 1533-position model. The record is from RNAcentral.
GAUGAACGCUGGCGGCGUGCCUAAUACAUGCAAGUCGAGCGAACAGACGAGGAGCUUGCUCCUCUGACGUUAGCGGCGGACGGGUGAGUAACACGUGUAUAACCUCCCUAUAAGUCUGGGAUAACUUCGGGAAACCGGCGCUAAUCCCGGAUAAUCUAUUGAACCGCAUGGUUCAUUAGUGAAUUACGGUUUUUCUGUCUCUUCUAGCUGGAUCCCCGCCGCAUUAGCUAGUUGGUAAGGUAACGGCUUACCAAGGCAACCAUGCGUAACCGACGUGCGAGGGGGAUCGGCCACACGGGAACGGAAACACGGACAAGAGGACGAAGGGAGGCAGCAGAAGGGAAUGGUCCGCAAUGGGCGAAAGCUUGACGGAGCAACGCCGAGUGAGAGAUGAAGGUGUGGGGAUCGGAAAACUCGGUUAUGAGGGAAGAACAAAUGUGGAAGGAAAUAUGGACGGAGUGACGGUAACGAAUCAGAAAGCCACGGCUAACUACGUG